Molecule: unclassified non-coding RNA, 8116 nt
Filed under: Hevea brasiliensis (rubber tree)
Lineage: Eukaryota; Viridiplantae; Streptophyta; Magnoliopsida; Malpighiales; Euphorbiaceae
Source: RNAcentral
AGAGAGAGAGAGAGAGAGAGAGUUAUACAAGCACACCCAGAAAUGCCUCUUACUUGGACCAUUGUUUCCACGGUAGUCCAACCAAAAUUUUGGUAUCUAUACUGAAAUUUCUGCCCACACUCCUCGUGAAUAUGAGUUUCUCCGCUUCUUCCAAAAGGGCGAGGAAGUCCUUUAUUGUAGACGGGCGACGAAAAUACCAAUACCAAGCAGAAACACUUUGCAUUUCAUUUUCUCUUAAAGUAACUUUACAAAAGAUGUCUACAUGAUCCUAUGUACGCUAGUCAUCACUCAUUACAUCAUGCCUACAAAAAUUCGAGCGCAUAACUGAAAUGCAAUACCUGGAACUCCAGUGGCCUGAAAGAAUAAUAAUGUCCGAACAUUUCAUUUUGUAUUAUAGCUAUGGUUCAUGCUCACUCACAUGGUGAUCUGAUACCGUUCCCUCAGAUGAUAUCGCCUCUACAUCAGGCUCUUCAGUCUGAGAAGAAUCCAACCGAGUCUUGCUAGAAUCACCACUAUCAGGUUGGCUUGGUUUGUUUUCUGCGAGCAUGACCUUUGAAUCAGGAGGCAAGCUCUGCAUAUCCUCCACAGCACCUUGUGAAUCCAAAACUUCUACAUGGUUGACAGAUUUUGGCAAGAGGUGCUUGCUCUCAUUAAAGCUAGUGCUUGUCAGGCCUGAACUAGAUGACAAGUGGGGGCCUGGGGCCACACAGGAAGCUACCAGUUGAAGAACUUCAGGAGACGGGGACAAGCCCAUGCUUGUUUUCUUUGGUAGAUUUAAAUAAGAAGAUGAUGUCAAACAGUGCAGCAUGUUUAUAUUAGGGAAACGAGAAUUUGGAUCAGAUUCAUCCCAUGCAAGUCCUGAAGUUCCAGGCGGUUGGAAAGUUUGGGCUGACUGAACAGAGGAUGAAGCAACACUGCUGCCCUGAAUGCUUCUUUUAAAAUUCUGCAUGCUUCCCGCAAUGUCUUGAGGGAACUGCCUGAAAAUAUCUGAUCUCCGCUUUUUUUUCUUCUUCAGAGUUCGUCUUGGAUCCUUCGGUUGGGAUGGAGGUGGACCCGGUAUAACAAAAGGAGGAAUUGUUGGCUUAGUUUCUCCAUAUAGUACACGAACUGAUUGAGCUAUAGCUGAUACAGUGGGUGGCAGGUCUGGUUCUGACGGUUUAGCAGGAGCACUUACAGCUUCUCUAAGCCAAUGGGGUAGCUUAUUCUUUGAAGAACUGCUUCCAACUAUUUCUUUCCCUUUCGAAUGCAAAAUAUUUAUCCCAUUAUCAUGGUCUUGGAAUAAAGCUGAACUACUGGAUUCUCCAUUUCCAACAUUAUUUUGGGAAUCAGGCAAUCUAUUUAGUGACCUAUCCAGAAGACUGGGCAACUUCCCAUACUUCAUGUUGCCAUGUUCCUCCCGCUGUAAAUCAAAGCUGCUAGAGCCAUUCAAACCCUGAGAGCCUAAGUUGCUUGCUCCAAAAGAAUUGAGCAGAAAUGGCAUUCCACUAGAAACACUUAAGGUAGAGGGUCCAGCAGAAGAAUCUCCAGCAAAAUUUGUGCGAAAUUUGUCAGGAUUCCAAGUUGGAAUAGGCCCGAAAUGCUCAUUCAGCCUAUGCUGAUCUGACAGCUCGAAAUGCGGCAUACUCGAAGACAGGUCACCAAAGCCCAGUUUCAUGUCUGUCAAAUGGGAGUGAAAUUUUGGUGGUGUAGCAAGUCUACUACCAUGCAAUGCCCGUGCCAUCAUUCCUUCCGGAAUACUUGGGAACAAGGAUGAUCUGGAAGAUUUUGUAGGUUUAAUUGCCUUUGGCCCUGAAAAGGCUGGUGCAUCCAAGAUCUUCAGUUGCUCCUCUUCCCACCUAGCUGCCAAAUCUUGUCUAGUUUUAUACUUCGAAAAUUUUAACCUGGGGUCUCUAAGCAUCUCAUCCCAAUUACCCCUUCCAUGUCUACGAACACCAAUCCACAGGAUAUCAAGUUCAUCUUCAGACCAGCCAUCUAUUUUUGAUUUCUUUCUAUACAAGGUAGUUGAUCCAGACCCAGUUCUCAUCAUUAUAUUUUCAAGUACCUUCCUAUGGUUUUCAGGUAAUGGUGGAAAGGUAGAUGGUAUCUGACCCAAACCCAGUGUGGGAGGCACUUCCUUGUCUAGCUGAUUGUAUAUUGAUGCAUCCUGAGAGGGGAAUUUCAAAUUGGGCAACAAAGGCAUUGCUGAAAGAUCUCGUAUAGAGUCAUUUACAGCUUCAAGUCUGCCACCAAGUGAUAAGCUAGGUAAUAAGUCAGGGUGUGGAGUUGGCAUGCUUUUAGAAGGUAGUGAGAAUCUGGACAGCAACUUUUCAUCAAAAGGUAAAUUUGGGAUUGACAUUUUUUCCUGGAAAUCAGCAAAACUAGAACUGGAACUCUCCAAACAAUCAGAACUUCUCCCUUGUGGUACAGUUGGAGGACACGGACUAAAUGGAAGCCAACCAUCUGACAAACUACUUUUAAGGUGCUUUUGCAAGACUUCAGCUGAUGCAUUAAUCUCCUUCCACUUUAAAUCGGUCUCGAUUGAAGUUCUAGAGGAAUGUAGACUGAAAGGAAACUCUGGUCCAGUAGCUGGCUUGUUUUGUCUGCUACUGGAUCUUGAUGAAUUUCGAUGUGAUGAAUCUAACUGAUUAGCGUUGGGAGCACACAGACCCAGAACUGGUAAUAAGUUGUAGUUUGCAUGGCCUGUGCCCUGAUUUUGUUGACUUGCAAGGUUGAUGUCAGGAGAAGGGUGACCAUGAGAAUUAACAGAAUGGUCCAGAUGACUGCUCAUUUUAUGCUUUGAUAUCCGACCCAGCCUUAACGUUGAGUCAGCCUUGCUCUUUGGUGUAUCCAAUGACUGGGGGAAUUUAUUAUCCUCCAAGUCAAAUACUGAAGACUUUUCUCCGACUUGUUGAACUAAAUCCAUUGCUCGAUCCUUGUCUCUCUCAUUGGUGGGAGGAUGAUGAGGCUUAGGCAGUGAGUCGGGUACAGAAAGACCCUCAUUGAGGCAGUAUUCUUCAAUAGCAUUCCGCUGAGCAAGCCGUUCUUUCUGUCUAGCGCGAAGCCUAGCAUACUUCACUUUCAGUGCUCGUCCAGCUGGUGUAUAUUCCCGCUCUAGCUCUGGCUCUGGCUCUGGGACCCGUUCAUCUUCACCACCACUCUCACUCAAUGUUUCACUUGGAUGUGGAGCAUAUGCUUCCCUGUAAGAAACAGCCUUCCUCUGGCGCUUUCCUCGACCAAGUGCUGCUUCCUCCUCAUUUUGAUAUUUCAUCCAUCUUGAGCGCAGAAGCCUGUCCCAUUCAUUUUCUUCAGUACUAGUGACCACAUUAUCCUCCUUGUUGUCAGGAUUUUGUCCACAAAUAUCAUCAGCCACAACAGGAGGUGAUUCAGCCCCAACUUGCUCUUCUGCUGUUUCAUCAUUCCAUUCCACAGACUUUACCGAUCCAAGCAUGUCAUUCUCAAAGUCCAUUUCAGCAGCAUCAGCUAUCCCAGACUGAAGGUUUGACCGGUCAAGCAAUUUCACAAUUGCAUUUUCAUCCCAGACAAUCUUGUUGCUGCCAUCUGUACAUUUAUCCUUGUACACAUCCCCAAGACCACCACCCCUUUUCCUCUGCUUUUGCUCUAUAUCUAUUACUGCCUCAUCUCUGUUGCUAUUACUUUCACCAGUAUCUUUCACAUUAAUGCUAGAAGAAUCACUAAAAAGUUCCUCCGUUCCCCAUCGUAGAAUAUCUUCCACUUCCUUCUGAGAUCCAGACUUAUUCACAAAAAGCUGGUCAAGCAUCAGUUUCUUUUUGGCAAGCUGCAAGAUGCGCUCUUCAACACUGGCACGAACAACAAGUCGAUACACCAGAAGUCUAUUUGAUUGUCCAAUUCGAUGCGCCCUGUUCAUUGCUUGGAUAUCAGCAUGUGGGUUAAAAUCAGAAUCAUAAAUAAUGACAGUAUCAGCUGUUGCCAAAUUGAUUCCAAGGCCACACGAGCGUGUUGAUAACAAGAACACAAAUCGGCUUUUAUCUUGGUUGAAACGUGCAAUUGCUGCCUGACGAUCACUGACAGAUACAGAUCCGUCCACUCUGUCGUAUGUUUUAGGCCCAAACUCUAUAGUUAAAUAAUCUUCAAGGAUAUCCAGAAGUUUGGUCAUCUGCGAGAAAAUAAGAACUCUAUGACCUUCCUUAUAUAAUGCUUUUAGCAUGGAAUGUAGCAGAGUCAGUUUCGCUGAAGCUUUUAUUCGCAUUUCAUGAAGGAAUUCUACUGACCCAGAAUCAGGCUCAGUACCCGGUAUGAGGUAUGGAUGAUUGCAAAUCUUUCUCAACUGCAUUACAAUGUUCAGCAUUGAUUGCUGAGCAACGCCUUUUCCAAUAUUCCGCAAUACCUGAUAGUUCUUUGUUAGCAUUGCACGAUAGUAUUCAGCUUGGAUAGAAGUCAACUCAACAGGAACCAUUCGUUCUGUCUUGGGAGGGAUAUUUUGCAUGGCAUCCUUUUUAAGCCGUCGAAGCAUAUGUGGAGCAACAAGUUUUUUCAAUUCGUCCACUUUUUCAGCAGUUGUAAGAUCAUUAAAUUUCUCCUCAAAUGAAGAUAGAGAAGGGAACGAAGCUGGCUGUAAGAAAUUAAGUAAAUUGUACAUCUCACCAAUGUUAUUUUGAAGAGGGGUACCAGUCAAGAGAACACGAUGUUGAAAAGAAAAUGCAUUGAGCAAGCUGAACAGCUUACUUCCUGAAUUCUUUAGACGGUGACCCUCAUCAACCACAAGCACUUCCCAUGGAACUCCACGCAAAUAGGAGGAGUCGGCAAGAACCAUUUCAUAAGUAGUUAAAAGAACAUUAAAUUUGUAAGAAGCAGUUUUCUUAUUCAUCUCAUUUGGAUCACUAGCAUGCCAUUCAUAUUGGCGAAUUAUAGCCCUUGCUUUUGCACACCCAUGAUAUUCUACAACAUUUAAGUUAGGAGCCCAUAACGCAAACUCAGCAAGCCAGUUUGGCAUAGUGGAAAGUGGAACUAAGACCAAACAAGGCAAAGAAGCUUUAAACUCAAAAUACAGUGAUGAAAUAAAGGCACAAGCCGAUACUGUUUUCCCAAGCCCCAUCUCAUCAGCAAGGAUCACAUUUUUGAAUUUGUUCCAGCAUUUACGCAACCAAUUCAACGCUUCAAGCUGAUGAGGAAACAAGGUGCCUCCUUUUAGCUCCUUAGGUUGUUCCGUGAGAGUAACUAUCUCAUUUUGAUGACCAUCACCCCUCCACUUAUUCAGAUCAUUUGACGUUGCAUCUUUUUCCAGUGUUUUCUGCUCUAACUGAUUAAACACAUCAAUCAUAUGUGGAGAUUUUGACAGAACAGGUUCAUCCAAUCUUUCCCAAGUGCAUUCAUCAUAAGGAAGACCAGUCCAUUUCACAAAAGCUUCCUUUGUACCAUCUCUGGAAGCACGGAGAGCAAUUAUACGCUGAGGCUGCUUCCACUUUUCCUCACAUAUAUUUAUUACAGCUGUUCCAUACUUUGCCUUGUAAUUUUCUAGUUUUCUUUUUGCAAGAACUUUCAGUCGAGAUUCAGAAAUCCAACUAUUGUGUAUAUGAGACUUACCCACCCAUUUAACUAAGAAUUCAUAUGAUGUUGUCUCCCCAUUAGCGCAUGCUGGUUCCAUCUUGGCAGGCUCCUGAACUUUAUUUUCAUCAACACCACUCAUUUUCAUUUCCAUAUCUGCUUCUUCUCUGACUUUGGUUUCAGGAGAUAAAUGUGGUCCACAAUCUUUGGAAACUUCACUUGUAUCUUGACUUUUCAAAGAAACAUCAAUGUUUUCUGUCAGCACCUUUUCAUGUUGUUUUACAAAAUCUUCUACACUUUCUGCAGACUCAUCUUGAUCUUUAUCAUUUAGGCCUUUAGAACCUGAAUACUUGUCAUCUUUCCCAGCUAAAUCCUUAACAUUUCCUCCUUUACAAUCUUUACCAGCAGAUCUUUUAUAUACAUUUAUUUUGUCCACUCUAAUGUCAUUCUUCAUGCUUUCUCCUCUGUCACAACUUUGGUUGAAGCCUGGAGAGCCCCCUGCAAGAUUUUCAGCAACUAAUACAUCUGAAUCAAUAUCACAAAUAGAGUUUUCCUCUCUAUUUUGUGUUUCUGGAAUAAGCAAUUCCUCAGAGGGUAGGUCAUCUGUAGCAAUCAAAGAGGCAUUGCGUGAAGAACUAGAAUUAUCACCUUGAAUUCGACAUCCCAAAACCCGAUCAACCUGUUGAAGUUCAAGGAUAGUAUCUUCACAUAUUCGUGUUUCAUCCACACCACCCCCAGCUUUACCUGCCUCAUCUGAUGGGUGCACAAGUUCCUCAGGAAGCUUCUCAUUCUUUCCCUGGGCAUCUAAGCUCUUGGGUCCAACAUCAUUCUCUGAUAAAGAUGCAGAAACCCCAUAAGUACCAGUUUUCCUUUUCUGGUGCAAUUUACUACUUCCAGAGGAUGUAUUAUUGGCUUUUGAUCCCCAUUUCUUAGAAGUACGUUGUCCCUUGUCAAUCCUAUGCUUCUUUAUGCUGUUGCCAUUGCCUUCAUGUUUUCUUUUUCUAUCUUUCUCAGUGGCAGCACAAAUUGCAAGUACAAUUUUGUUUCUUGGAGACCCAUUAUUACAAGACAAGUCACGCUUUCUAUCAGAUGCUUCAUCAUUUGGCCCAGACUUUUUAAGUUUAGAAUGAGACAAUGUUUCCUCAGCAAUAGAAAUUGAAUUCUUGUCUGCAGGUGACGCAGGUGGCGACACAUCAGGUUUCUUUGCAUCAUCAGCAUUCACACAUGAUGAGGUACCAUCUAUAGAAACACCAAGGGAUGGAUCACUAGGCUUGGUGCUACUAGAUUCGUCCAAGGAAGAAUCUGGUUCCUUUUCACAGGAUUUAACUCCAAAAGUUAACACAGAUUUUCCUUUGCUGGAGGACCUUCGUUUGGAGAGAAUCGAGCUUCCAAAAAUCCGGGACACUUUGUCAGUGUCAGAUGACCUACCUCCAGUCUUAGAAUUUGUUGUAACAAUUUUUGUUCUUGCCCGCUUUGAAAUGGAAUCCAGUUGGGUAAUGGACUUGAGCGGAUCAUUCUUUUGACAGCACUGUGGGCAUUGCCACUUCCCCAUUGGAAUGCGCUUAAGAGGUGGAUCAAGGCACUGAAGAUGGUAGACACUAGGACAGCUAUCACAACACAACAAGUUGCCACCAAGAUCACAGAUCACACAUUCAUAGUAAUACCCAUCAUUUCCUUUCUUCUUGAAUGAAGAUAAAUCUGAACUUAGUUCACUCUUUGGCCUGCGUUUAGCAGCUGCAGUACUCCUGGGAGAUUCCAGGGCUGCUAACUUCUCUUCUUUACCAUUGGUAACGACUCGUCCAUACAAAAGCUUUUUUCGCUUGCGCUUCAAGACCCAGUUUCUGUUUAUCAUUUUAUUAGUAGUUGAACCACUAUCCUUCAUCUCUCAAUCCUCCGCAUUACAUUCGGAACAAUCUUUUGUUCAGAACCAAAAAUCAAUACAAAGGGUGGUGUAUUACCAGAUUUUAAGAGACUGAAAGAAAAAAACAGUGGGUAGAGAUAUACAGAGAAAUUAGGGCAUAGAAGCAGAAGAACGAUAUGAGAGAUACGAGGAAGAGAGAGAAAAGAGGGAAACACGAACACACGCCAACAAAUGAAAAUAAAUAGAAAGAGAGAGACAGAGAAUUGAGGCUACACAAGAGAGAGACAAUCAAUACUUUUAGAGGGAGGAAGAGAGCUUUUUUUAGAGAGAGAAGCAUACGAUACGGAUUCGCCGGGGCAAAGGACGGGGUUUACACUUCUGACAUGGCAGCGCAUGAGAGAGAAAGAAAGGCAGCUAGAGAAAACAACCCCUGUCAAAAGCACCUAACCACUGAUAUCAUGCCACGUGGAUGAUCCAGAGCUCACGUUGCCCAAAUUCUCCUUUGAGCUUUUCUUUUCUUUUUUCUUUUUUUCUUUUUUCUUUAUUUUCCCUUUCAUUUUCCAUCUUCCCAAUCUUGGAAAUAUCUUCUCAUAAAGAGAAAGGAAGAGAUACAACAAUGGCCGACUUGGGUUUUCGAUGAUUACCGUUUUUGGUAUCAUUUCUGCUUCUGUGCGGCUGUGUUUUGGUCGGUAGAAGUCUAUAGAUGCCAUAGUCUUCUUUCGCUCUAUCCUUUGAAUAAUAAUUAUCUAUUUC